AGCAGCCGCGGUAAUUCCAGCUCCAAUAGCGUAUAUUAAAGUUGUUGCAGUUAAAAAGCUCGUAGUUGAAUUUCAGGCCUGGCUGGGCGGUCCGCCCUUCGGGUGAGUACUGCCUGUGGUCGGGUCCUACCUUCUGGCGAAGCGUCAUGGCCUUCACCGGCCGUGGCGGGGAACCAGGACUUUUACUGUGAAAAAAUUAGAGUGUUCAAAGCAGGCAAUCGCUUGGAUACAUUAGCAUGGAAUAAUGGAAUAGGACAGUGGUUCUAUUUGUUGGUUUCUAGGACCGUUGUAAUGAUUAAUAGGGAUAGUUGGGGGCAUUAGUAUUCAAUUGUCAGAGGUGAAAUUCUUGGAUUUAUUGAAGACUAACUACUGCGAAAGCAUUUGCCAAGGAUGUCUUCAUUAAUCAAGAACGAAAGUUAGGGGAUCGAAGACGAUCAGAUACCGUCGUAGUCUUAACCAUAAACUAUGCCGACUAGGAAUCGGGCGAUGUUGACAAAAUGACGCGCUCGGCACCU
This 515-nucleotide ribosomal RNA is filed under the name uncultured Glomeromycotina. RNAcentral describes it as "SSU rRNA". It matches the Rfam family "Eukaryotic small subunit ribosomal RNA", at positions 569 to 1088 of the family's 1831-position model. Lineage: Eukaryota; Fungi; Glomeromycota. The record is from RNAcentral.